CAAGUCGAACGAGAAAGCCGGAGCAAUCUGGUGAGUACAGUGGCGUACGGGUGAGUAACACGUGGAUGAUCUACCUCUUAGUUCGGAAUAACCGAGGGAAACUUUGGCUAAUACCGGAUAAGCUCGGGAGAGGAAAGCAGCAAUGCGCUGAGAGAGGAGUCCGCGGCCGAUUAGCUAGUUGGCAGGGUAAAAGCCUACCAAGGCAAAGAUCGGUAGCCGGCCUGAGAGGGCACACGGCCACACUGGCACUGAAACACGGGCCAGACUCCUACGGGAGGCAGCAGUGGGGAAUCUUGCACAAUGGGGGAAACCCUGAUGCAGCGACGCCGCGUGAGCGAUGAAGCCCUUCGGGGUGUAAAGCUCUUUCGGCAGGGAAGAUAAUGACGGUACCUGCAGAAGCAGCUGCGGCUAACUACGUGCCAGCAGCCGCGGUAAUACGUAGGCAGCAAGCGUUGUUCGGAGUUACUGGGCGUAAAGGGUGUGUAGGCGGUUGUUUAAGUUUGGUGUGAAAUCUCCCGGCUCAACCGGGAGGGUGCGCCGAAUACUGAGUGACUAGAGUGCGGGAGAGGAAAGUGGAAUUCCUGGUGUAGCGGUGAAAUGCGUAGAUAUCAGGAGGAACACCGGUGGUGUAGACGGCUUUCUGGACCGUAACUGACGCUGAGACGCGAAAGCGUGGGUAGCAAACAGGAUUAGAUACCCUGGUAGUCCACGCCCUAAACGAUGCAUAUUUGGUGUGGGCAGUUCAUUCUGUCCGUGCCGGAGCUAACGCGUUAAAUAUGCCGCCUGGGGAGUACAGUCGCAAGGCUGAAACUCAAAGGAAUUGACGGGGGCCCGCACAAGCGGUGGAGCAUGUGGUUCAAUUCGACGCA
Molecule: ribosomal RNA, 869 nt
Filed under: uncultured Bacillota bacterium
Lineage: Bacteria; Bacillati; Bacillota
Description: bacterial SSU rRNA
Rfam family: Bacterial small subunit ribosomal RNA
Source: RNAcentral